RNAcentral lists this ribosomal RNA (440 nucleotides) under uncultured bacterium. RNAcentral's name for it is "partial 16S ribosomal RNA". It matches the Rfam family "Bacterial small subunit ribosomal RNA", at positions 338 to 795 of the family's 1533-position model. The record is from RNAcentral.
CCUACGGGAGGCAGCAGUGGGGAAUAUUGCACAAUGGGGGAAACCCUGAUGCAGCGACGCCGCGUGAGCGAUGAAUUAUUUCGGUAUGUAAAGCUCUAUCAGCAGGGAAGAAAAUGACGGUACCUGCCUAAGAAGCCCCGGCUAACUACGUGCCAGCAGCCGCGGUAAUACGUAGGGGGCAAGCGUUAUCCGGAUUUACUGGGGGGAAAGGGGGCGUAGACGGCGGUGCAAGCCAGAUGUGAAAGCCCGGGGCUCAACCCCCGGACUGCAUUUGGAACUGUGCUGCUAGAGUGUCGGAGAGGCAGGCGGAAUGCCUAGUGUAGCGGUGAAAUGCGUAGAUAUUAGGAGGAACACCAGUGGCGAAGGCGGCCUGCUGGACGAUGACUGACGUUGAGGCUCGAAAGCGUGGGGAGCAAACAGGAUUAGAUACCCCGGUAGUC